Molecule: unclassified non-coding RNA, 242 nt
Filed under: Nectria sp. (in: ascomycete fungi)
Lineage: Eukaryota; Fungi; Ascomycota; Sordariomycetes; Hypocreales; Nectriaceae
Description: partial contains 5.8S ribosomal RNA, internal transcribed spacer 2, and large subunit ribosomal RNA
Rfam family: 5.8S ribosomal RNA (bases 1-52)
Source: RNAcentral
AACGCACAUUGCGCCCCUUGGUAUUCCGAGGGGCAUGCCUGUUCGAGCGUCAUUACAACCCUCAAGCAAUGCUUGGUGUUGGGCCUCGCCGGUCACCCGGCGGGCUCUAAAAUCAGUGGCGGUGCCGUCGGGCUCUGAGCGUAGUAAUUCUUCUCGCUAUAGAGUCCCGGUGGAUGCUGGCCAACAACCCCCAAUUUUCUAUGGUUGACCUCGGAUCAGGUAGGGAUACCCGCUGAACUUAA